Long non-coding RNA from Hemibagrus wyckioides, 368 nucleotides. RefSeq lists it as uncharacterized. The record is from RefSeq and is a predicted model, not a curated record. NCBI's taxonomy places the organism in Eukaryota, Metazoa, Chordata, Actinopteri, Siluriformes, Bagridae. The transcript has 3 exons.
CUGCUAUGUACAAACAUCCCACUGUGUUAUUAGGGGUUACAACCGGCCAGAUGAUGAGCAGUGCCUUGUUUCCUCCAGAGGGAGAUGUUUGUGUCUUCUGUCUAGGAAGAAGCCUAAUCGGUUCCCCCAGUCUACUUGGUGCCAUGCCCUGCCUGGUCAGCUGACUCCAUGCAACCUAUAAGAAGACUCCUUCAUCACUUCCUGCCUUCAGCCUUGUGCUCACUUGCUUCACCCUUUUGCUCACUUGAAAGCCCUUUACCCCUUAACUGCUCAGCUGUGUAAAUGAAUCAAAAACGAAAACAAACUGGAAAAAUAAAGAAAACUGAAGAGCUGACUAAGAAGCAACAUGAAAAGAAAAAAAGACAGUG